AAAGGUGAAAUUAGGUGUUAUAAGAAGAAACAAAGAUUUUAAUUGAAGCUGGAAAAAUUAGGAAUAAACCAGGAUUAGAUACCCUGCUAUACUAAAAGUAUAAAUUAAAGAUUAAAUUAUUAAAAGAUAUAUUCUUCAAAUUUGAAAAUUUGGCGGUAGUUUAGUCUGGUCGGAGGAACUUGUUUUUUAAUCGAUAAUCCUCGUUAAAUUUUACUUUAGUUUGUAUAUCGUCAUUAUCAGAUAAUUUCUAAAGAAAAUUAUUAAGAUCUGUAAGUCAGGGAAAAUUAGAUCAAGGUGCAGCUUAUAAAUAAGUUAAAAUGAGUUACAAUAAAUAUUAUUUAUACGGAUAAAUUGUUAAGAAGGAGGAUUCGAUUGUAUUUAGUUUUAGAAAGACUAUAUGAUAUAAGCACUAAAUUAUGUACAUAUCGCCCGUCGCUUUC
Molecule: ribosomal RNA, 440 nt
Filed under: Urashima pustuloides
Lineage: Eukaryota; Metazoa; Arthropoda; Malacostraca; Decapoda; Leucosiidae
Description: partial 12S small subunit ribosomal RNA
Source: RNAcentral